This is a long non-coding RNA of Ostrinia nubilalis (European corn borer), 1351 nucleotides long. RefSeq lists it as uncharacterized. The record is from RefSeq and is a predicted model, not a curated record. NCBI's taxonomy places the organism in Eukaryota, Metazoa, Arthropoda, Insecta, Lepidoptera, Crambidae. The transcript has 3 exons.
UGGCAAGAUUGAAUACUUACCGAUUUCCACAAACAAACAUUCCAACGGACCGUAAGGUCACAUAUUACAAAGUGCGCAGUAUUUCCUUUGUCACUUGAUUGUGUCAUUGUUAGUGAUUCACUGAGUUUUGAUUAACUUCUAUUAAAAUUAAUUACAUUGUUUUGGUACACAGAGCAAUAAAUAACCUCACUUUUUGAAUGUCUCCGUUUGACAGAUCAAUGCGUUACGUUCCAUUCUUUUAGUAUAGAAGAAAUGUAUAAUGAAAUUAAAUAUUCAACACUAAAUUUUUUUAAAACUUAAUAUUUAGGCUCUUUAAUUUAAAUUCUAGCUAUUUCUAGUAUUUUCCUCAAUGUUUAUAUUAAAAUAACAUUGUAAUGUAUCUUGAUCGAUCAUGGGUUCGGAACGUUCUAGAAAUUUGACAUAUUCUGAGCGAAACGAAACGCGCGGGAGACGGUCCGAAUACUGUGAGUGACGUUUCUUCUGUUUCUAAAAGUUAAAUAAAUUAAUUAAAUUUAAAUCGGAGGAGCAGUUUUGUGAGUUCUCAUAUCAAGAUUAUUCAAUAAGAGGCUGGUUGACUCAAAUAAAACUUAUUAGAAAAAGAAAUAAAAAAUAGAAACGAAGAAACAUUUUUAUGGUUUGUUAUUGUUGGGUUCGAUUCGGACCACAAGUCACGGGUGAUGACCGGCGCUUUUUGGAGUGACCUUUUCUUUGCUCGACCGGCCGUGCGCUUGGACGGAAGUUCGUUAGUGUGUGGUGUUGUGGCAUUCUGAGUCGGCCCUAAAUGUGCCAUUCCCAACUCAAACGGGCAGGGCACGCAGAUUAUUGUUGUUGAAAUAAAGGAAUUCCGGUUGGACACCGAAAUCCCGCUGUUCGCCGAUUUUGCGGACUCACUGCCACGUGCUGAGUUCUGUUACUGAAGAUUGUGUGUGGUUGAGCAGUGCUCGGUGGCGAGCCUCUGCGCUGUUGCUGUCUGUUGUUGAUGUUGCUGAUGUUGCCUCCAUAGCAGGUAUGUUGUGGUUUCUUUCUCAAACUCAUUCGCCUCUCCGCUGAGUUAGGAUGAAUUAGUAGAAACGUCCACCACGGUCCAGGGCUACCCUACUUCAUAGGAGGUGUAUGGUACCGGCUGCUCUGUUGGCACCGGCUAUCAGGUGUUUGGCACCGGCGGUCCCGCAGUGCCGGACGCUUGCUGCGCCCGACGGGUGCGAAGGGGGUUGAGCCGAGUGGUGAUAUUAGCGCGCUGAUCUUAGUCUAGUAAUUUUAGUCUGUACCAACCAAACGGCCCAACGACCCAUCCCUUAAUUUUUCUUUUUAAAUAUUUGUGUCAAUCACAAUAAAUUGUUGUCAAUUUAAA